GGAAAUACAACUUGUUUUUUGUUUGUUUGUUUGUUUUUUGAUAUUUGGAACUAAAGUAGGAAGUCUCCUUCCUGGUUUACUGGUCUAUAACCAGGUUUUUUCCCUAGUCAGAGGUCCUCAGCAGUGUGGGACUCGCGCGUCCCAGGGAUGGGGUGUUGGCGCCCUCUGGAGGCAGAAAGAAAAGAUGAAGGAAAACAGAAGAGAAGGUUAACCCGCGCUUUACAGGAAUUCUGUGGGAUUCAGAGGACAGUCCGGUGCUACCCCGGAAUGUGGCCAGCAAGAUCUGACUCAUCUUAUGGACCACAUAGCAAGAUUUCACACUGGCAGACCAUACAAAGUAUCCUUAGGAGAUAUUUCUGCUAUGUAUGGGUGAUUCUUGAGACAGCCAAGAACAGCAGGACAGCCACUUUCCAGAAUACUUCCAGAGUCAAACUGCUUCAUCUGCUUCUCAUAAAACCCACAAAACCACCCAUAAAAACCACUGAGUUUUCUUUUGCCUCAAGUGGUAUGAUAGCUUACACAGGCAUCCCCAAGGAUAAAAUAUAAUCGAGGGCAGUGAAAACUUUAACUCACUAAUAUGUGCAUGGAUAAGGAUGCUGACAAUGGACAAGGGACUGAAUUCUUUUUUAAAAGGAGCUAGUGUUGUUGUUUAAUCAUCUCUCUGCUUCUAAUGUGUGGAUAGCAAAGACCCAAGAUCUCGAUUCCGCCUCGUAGAAUUUUGCUUGUUAUUGUAGAAUUCCUGUAAUGUGAUCUCUUCAACACUAAAAAUCAGUGAUUACAUGUAUUCAAUUCUGUGGAAAUGUUCUCUGAGCAAAGCCUUGUUUUCUUUAGUGCUGAAUAGCGAGAAAAUAAAACUGGCUAAACAGAAUCAUUUAGAUACCAUCAAUCACAGAGAUGAACCAAGGACAUCAAAUUCUGUUCUAAUAUAUUUAAGUUGAGUUCCAAAUAGAUUGUUUAUGCUGCAGCCACAGACUCCAAAAUAUGAACUGAGUGUAAAAACAUUUUAACUUUCAUGUUUUAAUGAUAAGAAUGUUGUUGGCAUUAAUAUUUGAACAUUUCAGCCUACCUACUUCUGAAAGCUAUGUCAUGGCAGGCUUAGAAUCCACUGGCAGACUAUAAAUAAAGUCUUUCUAUAAAUAUA
Long non-coding RNA from Cavia porcellus (domestic guinea pig), 1141 nucleotides. RefSeq lists it as uncharacterized. The record is from RefSeq and is a predicted model, not a curated record. The transcript has 2 exons. NCBI's taxonomy places the organism in Eukaryota, Metazoa, Chordata, Mammalia, Rodentia, Caviidae.